Molecule: ribosomal RNA, 666 nt
Filed under: Moenchia erecta
Lineage: Eukaryota; Viridiplantae; Streptophyta; Magnoliopsida; Caryophyllales; Caryophyllaceae
Description: eukaryotic LSU rRNA
Rfam family: 5.8S ribosomal RNA (bases 267-421)
Source: RNAcentral
GUGAACCUGCGGAAGGAUCAUUGUCGAAACCUGCCUAGCAGAACGACCAGCGAACAUGUUUAACAACUCGGGUGUCGGGGAGAUGUUGGGAGCCUUGUGCCCUUUCACUUCCACGCUCGAGCCGGGGAGGGUUCCAUUGUGGUUUCUUUCCUGGCAACAAACGAACCCCGGCGCGAAAAGCGUCAAGGAACAUAACUACAUAUGAGCACCCUCCUGCUGCCCGGUUAGCCGGUGCACGGUAGUGGAGCCAUGUCAUAACAUUAAACGACUCUCGGCAACGGAUAUCUCGGCUCUCGCAUCGAUGAAGAACGUAGCGAAAUGCGAUACUUGGUGUGAAUUGCAGAAUCCCGUGAACCAUCGAGUUUUUGAACGCAAGUUGCGCCCGAGGCUUCUGGCUGAGGGCACGUCUGCCUGGGCGUCACGCAUCGCAAUUCCCCUACAACCCUUGAGGGGAGGAUGAUGGUUUCCCGUGCCUCACCGGGCGCGGUUGGCCUAAAUAAGGAGCCUAAGGCAUCGAGUUGCCGCGGCAAUAGGUGGUGAACAAGGCCUUGGCCCUGGAAUCAACCUGUCGCGCAGCACUUUGACGGAUGGAUCUCGCAGGACCCAGUGAUGCUGCCUUGUUGCGGCACUAACGUUGCGACCCCAGGUCAGGCGGGGCUACCCGCU